GUUUACAAGGAGAACAGAACCUAAAAACUUUUCUUUUCCCUUAAAUUUCAGGUCAAUCAAACAAUUCUUGAAUUAAUCAAGACAUCAGAAGUGAGUAUCAAUCCUAAUGAAUGGACUAAUUUGCCAAAGAAAAAGUCUGGGUGGAUAGGGCCAAGGGUGACAUUAAUCAGAAUAAACAAAGAGGGAGGAAGCAAUAUCUCUAUCGUGCUUUAUGUUCUAUCAAGACUGAAUAUUUUCCUGUUAUACCUUUUUGGUCUCAUUGUUUUGGCAUUUGAGUAUGGAUGACGGGUUCUAAAAAGUUUAAAACCAGUUAAAGUUGUACCUUCCCUUGCAUUAGAUGAUAGUCAAUGAACCCAUGUUUUUACUGGGGCUUAUUGAUAUGUCACCCUUCCAUUACCUCAUAUACCAUAACAAGUGAUGAAUACUGAAUACACAGGAUUCAUAAAACGAUUUUUUUAACAAAAGAUGAGAGGCUGACAAUCCGGCCAUUCAGAUUUUCAAAGUGAUUGGAGGCAAAAAAGGUGGGAGAUUGGGGCAGCCAAUAUUUAGGCAGAUACCUCUCCCCUUGCUAUCGGUUCAUGUUUAAUUUUUUAUACUUGCAAAAGAUGAUGUAACAAAUCCCCUCGUGCCUAAUCUUCAACAAACUCAAUACCAUUUU
Quercus robur (English oak) is the source of this 658-nucleotide long non-coding RNA. RefSeq lists it as uncharacterized. The record is from RefSeq and is a predicted model, not a curated record. NCBI's taxonomy places the organism in Eukaryota, Viridiplantae, Streptophyta, Magnoliopsida, Fagales, Fagaceae. The transcript has 3 exons.